Molecule: ribosomal RNA, 445 nt
Filed under: Pseudomonas sp.
Lineage: Bacteria; Pseudomonadati; Pseudomonadota; Gammaproteobacteria; Pseudomonadales; Pseudomonadaceae
Description: bacterial SSU rRNA
Rfam family: Bacterial small subunit ribosomal RNA
Source: RNAcentral
GAUUGAACGCUGGCGGCAGGCCUAACACAUGCAAGUCGAGCGGUAGAGAGAAGCUUGCUUCUCUUGAGAGCGGCGGACGGGUGAGUAAAGCCUAGGAAUCUGCCUGGUAGUGGGGGAUAACGUUCGGAAACGGACGCUAAUACCGCAUACGUCCUACGGGAGAAAGCAGGGGACCUUCGGGCCUUGCGCUAUCAGAUGAGCCUAGGUCGGAUUAGCUAGUUGGUGAGGUAAUGGCUCACCAAGGCGACGAUCCGUAACUGGUCUGAGAGGAUGAUCAGUCACACUGGAACUGAGACACGGUCCAGACUCCUACGGGAGGCAGCAGUGGGGAAUAUUGGACAAUGGGCGAAAGCCUGAUCCAGCCAUGCCGCGUGUGUGAAGAAGGUCUUCGGAUUGUAAAGCACUUUAAGUUGGGAGGAAGGGCAGUUACCUAAUACGUGAUUGU